CGCAACUUGCGCUCUCUGGUAUUCCGGAGAGCAUGCCUGUUUGAGUGUCAUGAAAUCUCAACCAUUAGGGUUUCUUAAUGGCUUGGAUUUGGAGGUUGCCAUUCUAAAUGGCUCCUCUUAAAAGAGUUAGCGAGUUUAACUAUUGCUAUCUGGCGUAAUAAGUUUCGCUGGAAUGGUAUUGUGAAGCGCGCUUCUAAUCGUCUUCGGACAAUUUUUUGACUCUGGCCUCAAAUCAGGUAGGACUACCCGCUGAACUUAA
Molecule: unclassified non-coding RNA, 259 nt
Filed under: Apiotrichum loubieri
Lineage: Eukaryota; Fungi; Basidiomycota; Tremellomycetes; Trichosporonales; Trichosporonaceae
Description: partial contains 5.8S ribosomal RNA, internal transcribed spacer 2, and large subunit ribosomal RNA
Source: RNAcentral